GAACGCACCUUGCGCUCCUUGGUACUCCGAGGAGCAUGCCUGUUUGAGUGUCAUUUAAUUCUCAACCUUAUUAGCUUUUGCUGAUAAUGGCUUGGAUGUGGGGGUUUUCUUUUGCUGGCUUUCGUCAGCUCCCCUUAAAUGCAUUAGCUGGUGCCCCGCGUGGACUGUCCGUUCGGUGUGAUAAUUAUCUACGCUGUGGAUGUCUGCAAAUAGGUUUUGCACUGCUUCUAACCGUCUGUUCAUUUGGACAAUACAUGACAAUUUGACCUCGAAUCAGGUAGGACUACCCGCUGAACUUA
Molecule: unclassified non-coding RNA, 299 nt
Filed under: uncultured Agaricales
Lineage: Eukaryota; Fungi; Basidiomycota; Agaricomycetes; Agaricales
Description: sequence contains 5.8S rRNA gene
Rfam family: 5.8S ribosomal RNA (bases 1-53)
Source: RNAcentral